RNAcentral lists this transfer RNA (73 nucleotides) under Stegodyphus mimosarum. It matches the Rfam family "tRNA". From Rfam's summary of the family: Transfer RNA (tRNA) molecules are approximately 80 nucleotides in length. Their secondary structure includes four short double-helical elements and three loops (D, anti-codon, and T loops). Lineage: Eukaryota; Metazoa; Arthropoda; Arachnida; Araneae; Eresidae. The record is from Rfam by way of RNAcentral.
GCCUUCGUGAUGUAACGGUCAGCACACUCGGCUUGUAUUCGAGGAGUUCGAGGUUCGAGUCCUGGCGAGGGCA